RNAcentral lists this RNase P RNA (368 nucleotides) under Rubidibacter lacunae KORDI 51-2. RNAcentral describes it as "Bacterial RNase P class A". It matches the Rfam family "Bacterial RNase P class A". Rfam says of the family: Ribonuclease P (RNase P) is a ubiquitous endoribonuclease, found in archaea, bacteria and eukarya as well as chloroplasts and mitochondria. Its best characterised activity is the generation of mature 5'-ends of tRNAs by cleaving the 5'-leader elements of precursor-tRNAs. Lineage: Bacteria; Bacillati; Cyanobacteriota; Cyanophyceae; Chroococcales; Aphanothecaceae. The record is from Rfam by way of RNAcentral.
AGAGUUGGCGAGGCGGUUGCGGGCUCGCUUUUAUGGCGAGUCUGAGGAAAGUCCGGGCUCCUAAGGACCAGAUCGCUGGGUAACGCCCAGUGCGAGCGAUCGCGAGGAAAGUGCCACAGAAACAUACCGCCGCUGGGCUUGCCCGUGCGGUAAGGGUGCAAAGGUGCGGUAAGAGCGCACCAGCAGCAUCGUGAGGUGCUGGCUCGGUAAACCCCGGUUGGGAGCAAGGUCGGAGGAGCAAUGGUUGGUCUUUUCCCAGCUCCGAAGAAGGCGUACCGCUUGAGGCGUGCGGUAACGCGCGUCCCAGAUAGAUAACUGCCCUCGGGCUCGUCCCGAGAACAGAACCCGGCUUAUGUCCGGCUCUCUUU